GGGGUUGUGGCUCAGGGGUAGAGUGCUUGCUUCACAGUUAAGAGGACUGGGUUCGAUCCUCAGCACCACA
This 70-nucleotide transfer RNA is filed under the name Marmota monax (woodchuck). Its description in RNAcentral is "tRNA.Val". It matches the Rfam family "tRNA". Rfam says of the family: Transfer RNA (tRNA) molecules are approximately 80 nucleotides in length. Their secondary structure includes four short double-helical elements and three loops (D, anti-codon, and T loops). Further hydrogen bonds mediate the characteristic L-shaped molecular structure. tRNAs have two regions of fundamental functional importance: the anti-codon, which is responsible for specific mRNA codon recognition, and the 3' end, to which the tRNAs corresponding amino acid is attached (by aminoacyl-tRNA synthetases). tRNAs cope with the degeneracy of the genetic code in two manners: having more than one tRNA (with a specific anti-codon) for a particular amino acid; and 'wobble' base-pairing, i.e. permitting non-standard base-pairing at the 3rd anti-codon position. The record is from RNAcentral. Lineage: Eukaryota; Metazoa; Chordata; Mammalia; Rodentia; Sciuridae.